RNAcentral lists this long non-coding RNA (1093 nucleotides) under Marmota monax (woodchuck). The record is from RNAcentral. Lineage: Eukaryota; Metazoa; Chordata; Mammalia; Rodentia; Sciuridae.
GGAAUCCUCCUGCUUCAACGCCCCCCAGGUAGCUGGGAAUAUCAACUGGCUCCACUGCACCCAGCUCUAACACUCAUUAACUUCAAUGUUCUUUUUUCUGGAUAAGACCAGGCCAAAGUCAGCUAGUUUGCAUAAAACUAAAUGGAAUAGAAUGUCCAGAAGUAGAAAUUUUGCUACUAGUUAUACAACCUCACAUAUAACUCUCACCAUUUUUUUUUUUUUUUUGUACUGGAUAGAACCCAGGGUACUUUACCACUGGGCUACAUCCACAGUCCUUUUUUUUAUCUAUUUUGAGACAGGGUCUUGCUAAGUUGCUUAGGGACUUGCAAAGUUGCUAAGGCUGGCUUUGAACUCUGGAUCCUCCCUCAGCCUCCUAAACUGCUAGGAUUACAGGCAUGUGCCACCACACUUGGUGCCAUCCCCUUCUUUUUUUUUUUUUUUUUUGGUACUGAGGAUUAAACUCAGGGGCACUCGACCACUGAGCCACAUCCCCAGCCCUUUUUCAUAUUUUAUUCAAAGAUAGGGUCUCACUGAGUUGCUUAGUGCCUCGCUGUUGCUGAGGCUGACUUUGAACUCAAGAUCCUCCUGCCUCAGCCUCCAGAGCCACUGGGAUUACAGGUAUGUGCCACUAUGCCCAGCACCAUCCCCUUCUUUUUUCCUUGGUCAGUUACAUCUCUCCCACCAUCAGGUUCCUUUGAGCCCCAGGUCUGGAUACUGCAUCUGCCCUGUGUCCUUCUCUGGUAUUCCAUAUUUGUUUCCAUUGGAGCACUUCUCACAUUAUUAUUUAAUUCUCUGUUUAAUCAUUUGUCUUUUCCAAUAGGCUAUGGAUGCCAUAAGGAAAGGAACUAUAAAUAUUUUGUGAUUGUAUUCCUAGCGCAUACCCAAUGCCUGGCCUAUAGUAGAUGCUAAAAGUAAAUUUAUUGAAUGUAAUUUUAAAAAAACUGAAAAUAAACUCUGUAGGAUAUGAAACAAUGCAUGUCCAAGAACAGGAGAAUGACCUAAGGGUCCUGUAUCUGAGAAUUAGGCAAAAUUGGACAAGCUGAAGAGAUGCUACUCCUAAAAUAGAGUAUACUGCUUGGCGAGCAGUGUAUGG